GGUUAUAUAGUAUAGUGAUUAGUAUAUAUACCUGCUGUUCUACUUCACCUCAGGAUAGAAUCCUAGGGUAGAGCAAGGCUCGUACGAGGUUAUAGGUUCGAAUCCUAUUGUAGCCG
This is a non-coding RNA of Parachaetomium inaequale, 116 nucleotides long. Lineage: Eukaryota; Fungi; Ascomycota; Sordariomycetes; Sordariales; Chaetomiaceae. The record is from the annotation of a GenBank genome assembly.